Molecule: ribosomal RNA, 468 nt
Filed under: uncultured bacterium
Lineage: Bacteria
Description: partial 16S ribosomal RNA
Rfam family: Bacterial small subunit ribosomal RNA
Source: RNAcentral
GACGAACGCUGGCGGCGUGCUUAACACAUGCAAGUCGAACGGAAAGGCCCUGCUUUUGUGGGGUGCUCGAGUGGCGAACGGGUGAGUAACACGUGAGUAACCUGCCCUUGACGUUGGGAUAACUUCAGGAAACUGGGGCUAAUACCGGAUAGGAGCUCCUGCUGCAUGGUGGGGGUUGGAAAGUUUCGGCGGUUGGGGAUGGACUCGCGGCUUAUCAGCUUGUUGGUGGGGUAGUGGCUUACCAAGGCUUUGGCGGGUAGCCGGCCUGAGAGGGUGACCGGCCACAUUGGGACUGAGAUACGGCCCAGACUCCUACGGGAGGCAGCAGUGGGGAAUAUUGCACAAUGGGCGGAAGCCUGAUGCAGCAACGCCGCGUGCGGGAUGACGGCCUUCGGGUUGUAAACCGCUUUCGCCUGUGACGAAGCGUGAGUGACGGUAAUGGGUAAAGAAGCACCGGCUAACUACGUG